RNAcentral lists this ribosomal RNA (180 nucleotides) under uncultured prokaryote. RNAcentral's name for it is "partial 16S ribosomal RNA". It matches the Rfam family "Bacterial small subunit ribosomal RNA", at positions 89 to 263 of the family's 1533-position model. The record is from RNAcentral.
AUUUUAGCGGCGGACGGGUGAGUAACGUGUGGGUAACCUGCCUUAUACUGUGGAAGGGUCAGUGAGAAAUGCGUGACUAAUACCGCAUGUCAUCCUUUUAUCGCAUGAUGAGAGGAGAAAAGGAUUUAUUCGGCGAGUAAGAUGGACCCGCAUCUGAUUAGCUAGUUGGUGAGAUAAUAG